UACAGAGGGGGCAAUCGUUGUUCGGAAUUACUGGGCGUAAAGGGCGCGUAGGCGGCCUUCUAAGUCGAACGUGAAAUCCCCGGGCUCAACCCGGGAACUGCGUCCGAUACUGGAAGGCUUGAAUCCGGGAGAGGGAUGUGGAAUUCCAGGUGUAGCGGUGAAAUGCGUAGAUAUCUGGAGGAACACCGGUGGCGAAGGCGACAUCCUGGACCGGUAUUGACGCUGAGGCGCGAAAGCCAGGGGAGCAAACGGG
This 253-nucleotide ribosomal RNA is filed under the name uncultured bacterium. RNAcentral describes it as "partial 16S ribosomal RNA". It matches the Rfam family "Bacterial small subunit ribosomal RNA", at positions 524 to 776 of the family's 1533-position model. The record is from RNAcentral.